GGGCAGUUAGCUCAGGGGGAGAGCGCUUCCUUGACACGGAAGAGGUCGAUGGUUCGAUUCCAUUACUGCCCACCA
This 75-nucleotide transfer RNA is filed under the name Kroppenstedtia pulmonis. RNAcentral describes it as "tRNA-Val". It matches the Rfam family "tRNA". Rfam says of the family: Transfer RNA (tRNA) molecules are approximately 80 nucleotides in length. Their secondary structure includes four short double-helical elements and three loops (D, anti-codon, and T loops). Further hydrogen bonds mediate the characteristic L-shaped molecular structure. tRNAs have two regions of fundamental functional importance: the anti-codon, which is responsible for specific mRNA codon recognition, and the 3' end, to which the tRNAs corresponding amino acid is attached (by aminoacyl-tRNA synthetases). tRNAs cope with the degeneracy of the genetic code in two manners: having more than one tRNA (with a specific anti-codon) for a particular amino acid; and 'wobble' base-pairing, i.e. permitting non-standard base-pairing at the 3rd anti-codon position. The record is from RNAcentral. Lineage: Bacteria; Bacillati; Bacillota; Bacilli; Caryophanales; Thermoactinomycetaceae.